UGCCAGACUCCUACGGGAGGCAGCAGUGGGGAAUAUUGCACAAUGGGGGAAACCCUGAUGCAGCGACGCCGCGUGAGCGAUGAAGUAUUUCGGUAUGUAAAGCUCUGUCAGCAGGGAAGAAGAUGACGGUACCUGACUAAGAAGCCCCGGCUAACUACGUGCCAGCAGCCGCGGUAAUACGUAGGGGGCAAGCGUUAUCCGGAUUUACUGGGUGUAAAGGGAGCGUAGACGGCGAUGCAAGCCAGAUGUGAAAGCCCGGGGCUCAACCCCGGGACUGCAUUUGGAACUGUGUGGCUGGAGUGUCGGAGAGGCAGGCGGAAUUCCUAGUGUAGCGGUGAAAUGCGUAGAUAUUAGGAGGAACACCAGUGGCGAAGGCGGCCUGCUGGACGAUGACUGACGUUGAGGCUCGAAAGCGUGGGGAGCAAACAGGAUUAGAUACCCCCGUACA
RNAcentral lists this ribosomal RNA (448 nucleotides) under uncultured bacterium. RNAcentral describes it as "bacterial SSU rRNA". It matches the Rfam family "Bacterial small subunit ribosomal RNA", at positions 329 to 794 of the family's 1533-position model. The record is from RNAcentral.